UAGGGAAUAUUGGACAAUGGGGGCAACCCUGAUCCAGCCAUGCCGCGUGAGUGAAGAAGGCCCUCGGGUUGUAAAGCUCUUUUGUCCGGAAAGAAAAGCUUCGGGUUAAUACCCCGGGGUUCUGACGGUACCGGAAGAAUAAGCACCGGCUAACUUCGUGCCAGCAGCCGCGGUAAUACGAAGGGUGCAAGCGUUACUCGGAAUUACUGGGCGUAAAGCGUGCGUAGGUGGUUGUUUAAGUCUGAUGUGAAAGCCCUGGGCUCAACCGGGGAAUGGCAGUGGAAACUGGGCAGCUAGAGUGCGGUAGAGGGUAGUGGAAUUCCCGGUGUAGCAGUGAAAGGCGUAGAGAUCGGGAGGAACAUCUGUGGCGAAGGCGACUGCCUGGACCAGCACUGACACUGAGGCACGAAAGCGUGGGGAGCAAACA
Molecule: ribosomal RNA, 427 nt
Filed under: uncultured bacterium
Lineage: Bacteria
Description: bacterial SSU rRNA
Rfam family: Bacterial small subunit ribosomal RNA
Source: RNAcentral